UACGUAGGGGGCGAGCGUUAUCCGGAAUUACUGGGCGUAAAGCGCACGCAGGCGGUUCGCCAAGUUUGGAGUGACAGUUGUCGGCUCAACCGACAAAGGACUUCAAAAACUGGUGAACUUGAGGACGAGAGAGGAACAUGGAACUCCAGGUGUAGUAGUGAAAUGCGUAGAUAUCUGGAAGAACACCAAUGGCGAAGGCAAUGUUCUGGCUCGUUUCUGAACGGCUCAGGUGCGAAAGCCAGGGGAGCGAACGGG
This 255-nucleotide ribosomal RNA is filed under the name uncultured bacterium. RNAcentral's name for it is "partial 16S ribosomal RNA". It matches the Rfam family "Bacterial small subunit ribosomal RNA", at positions 524 to 776 of the family's 1533-position model. The record is from RNAcentral.